AACGAACGCUGGCGGCAUGCCUAACACAUGCAAGUCGAACGAGACCUUCGGGCCGAUUGGCGCUCGGCUGCGUAACGCGUGGGAAGUUGCCCUUGGGUUCGGAAUAACAGUUGGAAAGGACUGCUAAUAUCGGAUGAUGACGUAAGUCCAAAGAUCUAACGCCCAGGGAUGAGGCGGCGUAGGAUUAGCCUGUUGGUGGGGUAAAGGCCUACCAAGGCGACGAUCCUUAGCUGGUCUGAGAGGAAGAUCAGCCACACUGGGACUGAGACACGGCCCAGACUCCUACGGGAGGCAGCAGUGGGGAAUAUUGGACUAUGGGCGGAAUGCUGAUCCAGCAAUGCCGCGUGAGUGAUGAAGGCCUUAGGGUUGUAAAGCUCUUUUACCCCGGAUGAUAAUGACGGUACCGGGAGAAUAAGCCCCGGCUAACUCCGUG
RNAcentral lists this ribosomal RNA (433 nucleotides) under uncultured bacterium. RNAcentral describes it as "partial 16S ribosomal RNA". It matches the Rfam family "Bacterial small subunit ribosomal RNA", at positions 29 to 507 of the family's 1533-position model. The record is from RNAcentral.